This is a non-coding RNA of Coffea arabica (coffee), 1188 nucleotides long. Lineage: Eukaryota; Viridiplantae; Streptophyta; Magnoliopsida; Gentianales; Rubiaceae. The record is from RefSeq and is a predicted model, not a curated record.
UUUGACAACACCUCACCUCACCUAGAUGGUGAGGUGUCUAGACACUUGUAGGAUAGAUAUUUUGAAAAGGAAAAGAAAGAGAAGAAAAGGGCAACGGGGCUUGAAAAAAAAGGCAAGACAAAGAGGAGGGUUUGGCGGCUGAGUAGGGGGGGAACCUGGUUGGUGGCCGAAAAGAGAAAAAAGAAAGGAGAGAACCGAGAGGGGAGGACGGCUGGAAAAAACAGAGUAAAAGAAAAACCAAGGGGGUGGCGGAUGAAAAGGAACCGUGGAAAACGAAAAGGAAAAAAAGGAGGUGCUUCAUCGGAGGCUAAAGAAAAAGAAAGAGAAAGAUUGAAAGGAAAAAAUGGGAAGUUUAGCGGCUGAAGGCUGAGGAGAGGCUUCGGCUGAGUGAAGGGAAAAGGACGGAGAGGGAAGCUCAACGAAAACAAAAAACAGAGAAAAGGAAAAGAGGGUGGCGGCUGACGGGCAGAGGAGGAAAAAAGAGCAAAAACGCAAGGGGAAAACAGAGGGGCUGAGAACAAGGAGAAGAAAAAGGAGAGAACCGAGAGGGGGGCUUCGGUGGGGAAAAACAGAGAAGGCCGAGAGAGGUUUGGGCUAAAAAGAACAAAGCAAAGGAAAGACAAGGGGCGGCGGAACAAAGCAGAAAACUAAGAGGAAAAGGGACGGCUAGGGUUAGAGAAAAGGGAGACGCGAAAGUGAAAGGGAGAACUUCGGGGAGUUUCUGAGAGGAAGACAAGAGCAGGAACCAGAACAAGAGGAAGAAAGAAGCUUCGGGCUAGGGAAAAAUCAAAACGGAGGCAGAGGAGAGUAAGAACCAGAAUCACCACUGCCGUCGACCACCACCAGCGCCGCCACUUCACCGAACCCACCAUCAUCACCGGCCAAUUUUCAUCAAGCAAGAGCACGAUAAAUGCUAUUCAUACUAGCUUUUGGAAGAUUUCUAUGGUUAUGGUUGAAGAAUGUUGAAGACAAAAUUGCCUUUUGCUCAUGGAGUGGUUCAUUUAGAUGUUCUUCAAUUUCUUAAACUGUGAUUGCUUUUGUAAAUGUACCUUAUGUACAAGUGAUAUUUUGGACAAAUGUUAUUUUUGUAGGCAUUAGUUGGGUAAUGUACACUUGAAUUUGGCAUUUGAGAAUGCUAUAUUAUUACCAUGUAAUCUAAUGCAAAUACUUUUGGUUAUCAAUCGUUCA